This is a non-coding RNA of Tinamus guttatus (white-throated tinamou), 168 nucleotides long. The record is from RefSeq and is a predicted model, not a curated record. NCBI's taxonomy places the organism in Eukaryota, Metazoa, Chordata, Aves, Tinamiformes, Tinamidae.
UGCCUCACUGUGCCCAUUUUACAGAUGGAAAAAAGUUUUCGUAAAACAUUCAUCUAGAUGCUUCCGAACAGUAUGUCCAGACCCUUGUGACUCCCAGCCAUGCCAGAACAGGGGGGGACCUGUGUCUCGGAGGGACUGGACAAGUUCUACUGCCUGUGCCCGGUGGGG